RNAcentral lists this ribosomal RNA (330 nucleotides) under uncultured bacterium. RNAcentral's name for it is "bacterial SSU rRNA". It matches the Rfam family "Bacterial small subunit ribosomal RNA", at positions 148 to 507 of the family's 1533-position model. The record is from RNAcentral.
CCACCGAAAGGUGGUCUAAUACUUCAUAAUAUCCAUCUCGUAUGGAUUAAAGCUUUAUGCGCUUUGGGAGGGGCCUGCGUAACAUUAGCUUGUUGGUGAGGUAAAGCUCACCAAGGCUUCGAUGUUUAACUGGUUUGAGAGGAUGACCAGUCACACUGGGACUGAGAUACGGCCCAGACUCCUACGGGAGGCAGCAGUAAGGAAUCUUCCACAAUGGGGCAACCCUGAUGGAGCAAUACCGCGUGCAGGAUGAAGCGUUUCGGCGUGUAAACUGCUUUAUCACCGAAGAUUAUGACUGUAGGUGAAGAAUAAGGACCGGCUAACUACGUG